UACGUAGGGUGCAAGCGUUAAUCGGAAUUACUGGGCGUAAAGCGUGCGCAGGCGGUCGCGUAAGCCAGAUGUGAAAUCCCCGGGCUCAACUUGGGAACUGCAUUUGGUACUGCGUGGCUGGAGUGCGGCAGAGGAAGGUGGAAUUCCUGGUGUAGCAGUGAAAUGCGUAGAGAUCAGGAGGAACACCGAUGGCGAAGGCAGCCUUCUGGGCCAGCACUGACGCUCAUGCACGAAAGCGUGGGGAGCAAACAGG
This 253-nucleotide ribosomal RNA is filed under the name uncultured bacterium. RNAcentral's name for it is "partial 16S ribosomal RNA". It matches the Rfam family "Bacterial small subunit ribosomal RNA", at positions 524 to 776 of the family's 1533-position model. The record is from RNAcentral.